RNAcentral lists this ribosomal RNA (213 nucleotides) under Anophryoides haemophila. RNAcentral's name for it is "partial Eukaryotic large subunit ribosomal RNA". It matches the Rfam family "Eukaryotic large subunit ribosomal RNA", at positions 653 to 867 of the family's 3401-position model. The record is from RNAcentral. Lineage: Eukaryota; Ciliophora; Oligohymenophorea; Philasterida; Glauconematidae.
CUUGUAACACGGACCAAGGAGUCUGACAUGCGUGCGAGUCGACGGGUUCUGAAACCUGGGAUGCGCAAGGAAGCUGACGAGCGGGAGGCCCUUACGGGCCGCACCGCUGGCCGACCCUGAUCUUCUGUGAAGGGUUCGAGUUGGAGCACGCCUGUCGGGACCCGAAAGAUGGUGAACUAUGCCUGAGCGGGGCGAAGCCAGAGGAAACUCUGG